RNAcentral lists this ribosomal RNA (301 nucleotides) under uncultured bacterium. RNAcentral's name for it is "partial 16S ribosomal RNA". It matches the Rfam family "Bacterial small subunit ribosomal RNA", at positions 509 to 807 of the family's 1533-position model. The record is from RNAcentral.
CAGCCGCCACGGUAAUACGUAGGGCGCAAGCGUUAUCCGGAAUUAUUGGGCGUAAAGAGCUCGUAGGCGGUUAGUCGCGUCUGCCGUGAAAGUCCGGGGCUCAACCCCGGAUCUGCGGUGGGUACGGGCAGACUAGAGUGAUGUAGGGGAGACUGGAAUUCCUGGUGUAGCGGUGAAAUGCGCAGAUAUCAGGAGGAACACCGGUGGCGAAGGCGGUUCUCUGGGAAUGUUCUGACGCUGAGGAGCGAAAGUGUGGGGAGCGAACAGGAUUAGAUACCCCCGUAGUCCCUGUCUCUUAUAC